UGAAGCGGCAAAAGCUCAAAUUUGAAAUCUGGUACCUUUGGUGCCCGAGUUGUAAUUUGGAGAGUACCACUUUGGGACUAUACUUUGCCUAUGUUCCUUGGAACAGGACGUCAUGGAGGGUGAGAAUCCCGUAUGGCGAGGGUGUUAGUUCUUUGUAAAGGGUGCUCGAAGAGUCGAGUUGUUUGGGAAUGCAGCUCUAAGUGGGUGGUAAAUUCCAUCUAAAGCUAAAUACAGGCGAGAGACCGAUAGCGAACAAGUACAGUGAUGGAAAGAUGAAAAGAACUUUGAAAAGAGAGUGAAAAAGUACGUGAAAUUGUUGAAAGGGAAGGGCAUUUGAUCAGACAUGGUGUUUUGCGCCCCUCGCCUCUCGUGGGUGGGGGACUCUCGCAGCUCACUGGGCCAGCAUCAGUUUUUGCGGCAGGACAAAACCUUGGGAAUGUGGCUGCGCACUUCGGUGUGUCGUGUUAUAGCCCUUGGGAAUACUGCCAGCGGGGACUGAGGACUGCGAUACUUGUUAUCUAGGAUGCUGGCAUAAUGGUUAUAUGCCGCCCGUCUUGA
RNAcentral lists this ribosomal RNA (558 nucleotides) under Nakaseomyces sp. RNAcentral describes it as "LSU rRNA". It matches the Rfam family "Eukaryotic large subunit ribosomal RNA", at positions 94 to 657 of the family's 3401-position model. Lineage: Eukaryota; Fungi; Ascomycota; Saccharomycetes; Saccharomycetales; Saccharomycetaceae. The record is from RNAcentral.